Molecule: ribosomal RNA, 442 nt
Filed under: uncultured bacterium
Lineage: Bacteria
Description: partial 16S ribosomal RNA
Rfam family: Bacterial small subunit ribosomal RNA
Source: RNAcentral
CCUACGGGAGGCAGCAGUGGGGAAUAUUGGGCAAUGGGCGAAAGCCUGACCCAGCAACGCCGCGUGAAGGAAGAAGGCUUUCGGGUUGUAAACUUCUUUUGACAGGGAAGAGCAGAAGACGGUACCUGUCCAGCAAGCCACGCCUAACUACGUGCCAGCAGCUGCGGCAAUACGUAGGUGGCAAGCGUUGUCCGGGUUUAAUGGGUGUAAAGGGUGUGUAGCCGGGCUGACAAGUCAGAUGUGAAAUCCGGGGGCUCAACCCCCGAACUGCCUUUGAAACUGUUGGUCUUGAGUGUCGGUGAGGCAGGCGGAAUGCGUGGUGUAGCGGUGAAAUGCGUAGAUAUUAGACAGAACACCGGUGGCGAAGGCAGCCUGCUGAUCGAUAACUGACGGUGAGGCACGAAAGCGUGGGGAGCAAACAGGAUUAGAUACCCUUGUAGUC